This 231-nucleotide ribosomal RNA is filed under the name uncultured bacterium. RNAcentral describes it as "partial 16S ribosomal RNA". It matches the Rfam family "Bacterial small subunit ribosomal RNA", at positions 103 to 334 of the family's 1533-position model. The record is from RNAcentral.
CGGGUGAGUAACACGUAUCCAACCUGCCGUCUACUCUUGGACAGCCUUCUGAAAGGAAGAUUAAUACAAGAUGGCAUCAUGAGUUCACAUGUUCACAUGAUUAAAGGUAUUCCGGUAGACGAUGGGGAUGCGUUCCAUUAGAUAGUAGGCGGGGUAACGGCCCACCUAGUCUUCGAUGGAUAGGGGCUCUGAGAGGAAGGUCCCCCACAUUGGAACUGAGACACGGUCCAA